Molecule: ribosomal RNA, 448 nt
Filed under: uncultured bacterium
Lineage: Bacteria
Description: partial 16S ribosomal RNA
Rfam family: Bacterial small subunit ribosomal RNA
Source: RNAcentral
GAACGCUGGCGGCGUGCCUAACACAUGCAAGUCGAGCGGCAGCGAGGGGUGCUUGCACCCUGUCGGCGAGCGGCGGACGGCUGAGUAACGCGUGGGAACGUGCCCCAAAGUGAGGAAUAACUGCCCGAAAGGGUAGCUAAUACCGCAUAUUAUCUUCGGAUCAAAGGAUUUAUCCGCUUUGGGAGCGGCUCGCGUCGGAUUAGGUAGUUGGUGAGGUAAUGGCUCACCAAGCCGACGAUCCGUAGCUGGUCUGAGAGGAUGACCAGCCAGACUGGAACUGAGACACGGUCCAGACUCCUACGGGAGGCAGCAGUGAGGAAUCUUCCACAAUGGGCGAAAGCCUGAUGGAGCAACGCCGCGUGCAGGACGAAGGCCUUCGGGUUGUAAACUGCUUUUAUAAGUGAGGAAUAUGACGGUAACUUAUGAAUAAGAAUCGGCUAACUACGUG